Long non-coding RNA from Ochotona curzoniae (black-lipped pika), 435 nucleotides. RefSeq lists it as uncharacterized. The record is from RefSeq and is a predicted model, not a curated record. NCBI's taxonomy places the organism in Eukaryota, Metazoa, Chordata, Mammalia, Lagomorpha, Ochotonidae. The transcript has 4 exons.
AGAUCUAUACUGCCCACAACAGUCCUGGGCGGUCUCCACAGGAGAAGAAGGACCCUGGUUUACUGUGCAACAGGUAAUCUGCACAAGCUCAAGGCUGGCCAGAUUGGUUUCCAAAGAGCUGAUAAUGGCAUGGGACUGAGCAUCUUUUGAGAGUCAGUGAAAGUUGACCAGGGAUCCCUGGCAAUGUGGAUGCAGAUGGCAGUGGGGGACUGUCAUCAGCUGCUGACUGUCCUCAGAGCAGCUGCAGAGGCAGUGGGGCGCUUUAGAAACAACCAAGUCUUGGCAUCUUAUUCCUUUCUGGAUCACAUUCAAGCCUUCCUCCCUACACCCCCACCAUCUACAAAGUUCUCUGACAAGAAUGAAAGCAGGUACUUGGCUUCCCAAACAUGAUGUCCAUUAGGGAUGCCACAUGCACAAGUGACAGGAGCCACAGGG